AGAAAAAAGAAAAAAUGGGCGGGGCAUACCUCGCUAAAUAAAGAAAGUGCAUUGGUAAAUAAAUGUCAACUGUUUUGGAGGAAGAACUACAUCAACAAGUGCCAUCCAAACUGCUCCACCUGCAAGCGUAGGACAAACAGCACCCAAAGGGCGAGGCAGACACAGUGAAGGGAAUGGAAACUACAGCAAGAAAAGGGAUAACAAGGCCUCCACUUAAUUUCCUAUCCAUUUUGAAUGAAGCUGGGAUUAAAAUUGACACGUCUUGUCCGGACAAGCUGUGUGAUCAACUCUAUGCUGGAAUUUUCUUGAAGCCCAAAUUAUUGGCAAGUUCCUUAUCCAUUUACUUAUGAUAAUUUUUUAAUGAUUCGAUUUCAAAGUGAUCUUCUGAAUUAUUCCUCAUUAGUUAUUACCUUCUUAAUUAUGAAAUCCCACCCAAAAAAAAAAAAAAAAAACCAAUAUGUAAUAUUAGUCCACCAACACAAUUUAUGUUUAAUAAAUCCUAAUAUGUUCUGAUGUAAAGAUGGUUUAUUCAAUUAAAUGGAGAUAAAUAUGUGGUUUGAAGUGAGUCCAGGAACUUUGGCUAGUUUGUGAGCAAAAUCUUGUUACCACUACUCCUCACAUGAGUUACAGACCAACUUUGCAUGACAGAUGAGUAGCUUGUGAACUGUCUCAAUAGUACAAUGACCGAAAAUGGUUGAGAUUGCCCACCUUUCUGUAAUGGCUGAACAAGUGAUUGUUAUCGAAUCACUCUCCACCACCAUUUACCUGAUUGGGAAAAUCUACAUCUUCUUUCAAUGCCACUGCUUCAACCUCACUUGCAUUCCUCAAGUAGCACCCGUUUUUACUCGGCCGCAAUCAAGUCUCCCUUCUCAAUUUGCCACCAGUUUACUUCAAUAAUGACCUUCCCAGUUUCCAAAUUCCAAUAUACUUCCCCUAGCACAAGAGCUAGUAGGGCUAACCCAUGAAGGAACAGAAUGGGUGGUACCUGACGUUGAGGACUCUUUGUAAUAGACAGCCAGUGAUGGUCAACAGUUUCCACCCUUGCUUGGCUUGCAUUGCCUUGUUGAAUGCUUUGAAGUUUCGUAAACCCAGCCAGUCUAUGGACUCACAUACUGUGUAGCCCAUUUGAGCCUACCGAUUUUUCUUUCAUCUUGCUUUUGCCCGCACCAAAAUUAGUUAAUCAUGGUGUUUAACUUGUCACAAAGCUUAUUUGGAAUUUGAGAACACUCAUAAUGUAUCUGGGCGUUACUUGAUCUUCAACUUUGAUAAGAAUGUCUCUUCCUGCCUUCGACAGUAGGUUCUCUUUCCAUACCUAUAGCUUCUUAACUAGUCUCACCUUUAUUUCUCAUAAAGCUUGAUAUUUGGAUUGUCUAAUCAUUGAUGGGAGGCCUAAAUAUUUCUUGUGUUGCCUAAUGACUAGUAUGAUAAAUUAGUUUUUGGACAAUGAUUGGUUUACAUUGUGCUAUCAAGAUAAACUAAUAAUUUUCCUUAGUUCUUUAUUUUCUCUUGCAUCUACCUGGCAUUUUAUUGCUAAAGAAUAAUGACAUUUUGUCCUCAGUGAUCUUCUACAGUUCUACCUUGCGACCUCUUUAUAGAAUAUGGGCCAAGCUAAGUGUUUGGUACAUUCAAUGUCAUUGGCCCUAAAAAAACAAAAUACCAUCAUUUGCAAGGAAUAGAUGGGUGAGUGUAGGGCCUUUGUGGCUUAUCACCACUCCAUAUGGUCAACCUGCAUUUUCAGCUUGUCUAAUGAGGCCUGAGAAGGCUUCUACACAUAGAAGAAACAAAUAAGGGCAAGAGGGGGUCACCUUGAUGGAGUCCCCUUAUUGGAGUCAUGUAACCCUGGGGCUCACCAUUGAUUAGGACAUAAUAAAUUGUUGUGUUGAUACAUGUCAAAAUCCAUUUGUCGUGAAAUCCCAUUUUGGCCAUAAUUUUCUUCCAAGUAGACCUGCUUUACUCAUCUCAAGUUUUAGGGCCAUAAAAUUGUGUUUCCCUUUACGAUUGUGGUCCAUGUAGUUUAGUGUAUAAGAGCACAUUGUUCAUUAUUUGUCAACCUGAUGCAAAGGCACUUUAGUUUUCAGCUAUACUAUUUGGGAGAAUUAUUUUGAACUAUUAGCUAGAGCUUUGGUCAUAAGUUUGCAUAGAAAGUUGGGAUGAUAAUUGGUCAUUUUUCUAGGCCUUUUGUUUUUAGGAACUAAAGCAAUAUAUGAAUAAUUGAUUUAUUUAACACAGGCCCGAGUUUGAUGUUGCAAAAGGACUGCUUUCACUGUAUCAUAACCAACAGUACUUAAAUAUGUGUGUAUAGAUAUAUAUAUAUAUAGCAAAUAUACCGUUGGGUCAAGGAUCUUUGGUAGGGUGCAUUUGGAAUAGGGCAGUGGAGACCUCCUCAGCCUUGAACUUCUAUGUCAGCAUCCUAUCAUGUCAUCUAUGACUAGCUUGUCCACUGCACUCAUAAUUGGGUUGAGUUUUGUUGGUGUGGAACUAUAAUAUAUUUCAUUGAAGUUCUAUGUUGCCACUUCCUCCUCCUUUGACACAUCACUAUGCCACACUAGCUAUGUUAGAUUCCUUGUAUCAUAUUCCUUCUUCCUCUUUGUGUAGCCUCAAAAUAAAAAAAAAAUAAAAAAAAAUUGUGUUCCUUUCUCCGUCCUACUGACAUUGGAUUCAAGAUCAUUGAUUCCAUCAUAUUUCAUCUAGCUCCAAUAGAUUGUUUAUUUCUUGCUUCAGCCAUUUAAGCUCCUUGGACUCUGUCAUUGCAAUUUGGUUUGCCCUGUUCUAAUAUUCCUCCAACUUUUUGUUGACUCUUUUUUAAGUGAGUGCUGGUCCCAUUUUAUACCACGAUUGUUGUGCAUUCCACACCUUUUUUGUUUUUUACCACUUGUGGCUCAUAUAAAUCCUCUUCCUCUAUGUUUGCCAAGCUUGGUUGAUCUUUUCAUUAGAUUUCAAUUACUGCUUCUAUGUUGCUUCAGACUUGAACUGAUAUUGUGGAAGCUUUCCAUAAACAUAUUCAUCCAUGCUAUGUUUGCAACCCAUCUAUCAAUUCUCUCCUGUACCUUUUAAUCUCCCUCUCUUUGAUUGCACAGAGUGAACCUGGUUCCUUGAAAUCCAAGUCCUUCAUUUCCCACCUAGGAUGAUCAUUUGGGCCUUCUCUCUCGAUUAUUUCAACUAUCACAUUAAAAUUUCCUCUGCACAUCCAUGGGAAGCCACUGUGGUCGUGGAGUGUCCUUAGUAGCUCCCGAUGUUUUGUUUCUUUGUGAAACCAAGGAUUCCGAGGAGCACAUGGAUCAGGUAAAAUGGUAUGUAGGUUUCUCCACUGAAGUUCUUAUAGAUGCCAAAGGAUUAGUCAGAGGUUUAUGUUUAAUAUGGAAAGCUAGAGUUGUUGUUGAACUUGUUGAAUUCAAUAAAAUAUGAUUGUGGUGAAAAUAAGAAAAAGUCUUGAGAGAACAUCUCCGCCUUGCUUGAAUCUCUCCAAAGCCCUUGGGUUUGUAUGGAGAACUUUAAUUUCAUCCUCCAUGAAGAUGAAAAGUUUGGGGAAAAAAGUGGAGGCCCUUCAGCAAAUAACUUCCUUCGGGAUCUAAUGUUUGAUUCAGGAGUUAUUGAUUUAGGUUUCUUGGGUAGCCAGUUUACUAGGCCAAGGGAAGGUGGGGAAACGCAGCUUUAAAAAGAAUAUUGGACAGAGCAAUUUCAAGUAUAUCUUGGAGAUUAGCCUAUCCAAAAGCUACCAUCACCCACCUCAGACCAAUUAUUUCUGAACACACCCCAAUCCUUCUUGACACUAGCCCCACAGACUCAUUCGCCUAUAUACCUUUUCGCUUUGAGGCGGCCUGGAUUAGAGAUCUUGCUUGUUACUCUGUGGUUGAUGAGGCCGCCAGAAAAGCUCUAAGAAAGUGGAACAAAGAGGGUUUUGGUUGAUGCCAAGAUAGAACAAACACUUUAAUAAAGAUAAAUCAAGAAGGUACAAGAAAGAGGCAGCUCAGUGGCCAAUGGUAAGGUAGAGGCAGUGUUAUAAGCAGAGCUAGCAAAGUGGCUCACUAAAAGUGAGAUCCUUUGGAGACAAAAAUCCAAAGAAUUGUAGCUAAAGUUUGGUGACAAGAACUAAGCUUUUUCAUUUAUCAACCAUUAUACAGAGAUGCUGAAAUAACAUCAAUGCCAUUAAAAACUCAAGGAUCUUGGAUAUCUGACUUAGGGAAAAUAAGGCAGCUACUCCCAGAUUGUUUCAAAAGCGUUGUCCCCACAACUUGGAUUUACUUAUUUCACCCGCCAUCACAGAAGCCGAUAAUUCUCUUCUUGCUAGCAUUCGGCACCCCUGAACAGAUUAAGCACACAUUUUUCAAAUGGAAGAUCAAAAGUCCCCAGGUCCUUAUGGGUUCCCUGCCAUCUUCUACGAAGAAUAUUGGCCUACUGUUGGAGAGACCAUGAUUAAAGCAGCCACAUCUUUGCCUGAGGAAAUAAGCAGCUCCUUAAAAGUGCUAAUAUCCAAAACACAAAGCUUCUCGACCAUUAAUAAUUUUAGACUUAUAAGCUUGUGCAGCAUUGUCUACAAGAUAAUCUCAAAGCUUCUAGUGUCCAAGAUUAGACUGCUUCUCCAGAAACUAAUUUCACCCAAUCAAUCAGCCUUCAUUCUUGGGAGAUGGAUAGCAAAAAUCAGGCAUUGUUCAAGAAAUGCUUCAUAGUUUCAAGACCAGGAAAAUUAAAUCCAGACUAAUGGCAAUCAAGCUUGACCUCCAAAAAGCGUACAAUAGAAUGAACUGGAAAUUCUCCAUGCAGUGCUUCUCAAGUUCGAUUUCAAUGAAAUUUUCUCAAAUUGGAUCAUGGCUUGCGUAUCCUCUGUCUUUGAGGUUCUUGUUAAUGGUGGGAAAUCUUAGACCAAGCAGAGGAUUGCGACAAGGAGGCCUUUGUCUUCUUAUCUUUUCAUCUUGGGGCAAGAAGCACUGCCGAAGAUGCUUGAGCAUGAAU
Quercus lobata is the source of this 4950-nucleotide long non-coding RNA. RefSeq lists it as uncharacterized. The transcript is spliced from 2 exons. The record is from RefSeq and is a predicted model, not a curated record. Lineage: Eukaryota; Viridiplantae; Streptophyta; Magnoliopsida; Fagales; Fagaceae.